Molecule: ribosomal RNA, 630 nt
Filed under: uncultured marine eukaryote
Lineage: Eukaryota
Description: SSU rRNA
Rfam family: Eukaryotic small subunit ribosomal RNA
Source: RNAcentral
UUAAAAAGCUCGUAGUCGGACUUCAGUAUUAGGCCCUUCUUCCAAUGCGGUUGCUAGUGGUCUUUACUUCCUUAACAGAAUCUUUCAUCUCAUUAAUUUGGGGUGUUUGGGGCCUGUUUCUUUUACUUUGAGAAAAUUUGAGUGUUCAAAGCGGGUUUUCGCCUGGAUAUUACUCUUGGAAUAAUAAUAUAGGACUUUGGUUCUUUUUUGUUGGUGACUUAGAACCGAAGUAAUGAUUGAUAGGGACAGUUGGGGUCAUUCGUACUAUGAAGCGAGAGGUGAAAUUCAUGGACCUUUGUAUGACGAACUACUGCGAAAGCAUUUGACUAGGAUGUUCCCGUUGAUCAAGAACGAAAGUUGGGGGAUCGAAGACGAUCAGAUACCGUCGUAGUCUCAACCAUAAACUAUGCCAGCUAGGGAUUGGAGGAAGAUCAUUUUACGUCUCCUUCAGCACCUUAUGAGAAAUCAAAGCAUUUGGGUUCCGGGGGGAGUAUGGUCGCAAGGCUGAAACUUAAAGGAAUUGACGGGAGGGCACCACCAGGAGUGGAGCCUGCGGCUUAAUUUGAUUCAACACGGGAAAACUUACCAGGUCCGGACAUGGGAAGGAUUGACAGAUUGAAAGCUCUUUCU